Molecule: ribosomal RNA, 1409 nt
Filed under: Mycoplasma amphoriforme
Lineage: Bacteria; Bacillati; Mycoplasmatota; Mollicutes; Mycoplasmatales; Mycoplasmataceae
Description: partial 16S ribosomal RNA
Rfam family: Bacterial small subunit ribosomal RNA
Source: RNAcentral
AUGCCUAAUACAUGCAAGUCGAUCGGGUGCAGCAAUGCAUCAGAGGCGAACGGGUGAGUAACACGUAUCCAAUUUACCCCAUAGCGAGGGAUAACUAGUCGAAAGAUUAGCUAAUACCGCAUAACGAUUAAAAUAUCGCAUGAGAAUUAAUUUAAAGAUCCGUUUGGAUUACUAUGGGAUAAGGGUGCGGCAUAUCAGCUAGUUGGUGAGGUAACGGCCCACCAAGGCAAUGACGUGUAGUUAUGCUGAGAGGUAGAAUAACCACAAUGGAACUGAGACACGGUCCAUACUCCUACGGGAGGCAGCAGUAGGGAAUUUUUCACAAUGGACGAAAGUCUGAUGGAGCAAUGCCGCGUGAACGAUGAAGGUCUUUGUAGAUUGUAAAGUUCUUUUAUUUAGGAAGAAAAGCUAGUAAAGGAAAUGUUAUUAGUUUGACCGUACUAUUUGAAUAAGUAACGACUAACUAUGUGCCAGCAGUCGCGGUAAUACAUAGGUUGCAAGCGUUAUCCGGAUUUAUUGGGCGUAAAACAAGCGCAGGCGGAUUAGAAAGUCUGGUGUUAAAAUCAACUGCUUAACGGUUGAAUGCAUUGGAAACUUCUAGUCUAGAGUGUGGUAGAGAGUUCUGGAACUCCAUGUGGAGCGGUGGAAUGCGUAGAUAUAUGGAAGAACACCAGCUGCGAAGGCGAGAACUUAGGCCAUUACUGACGCUUAGGCUUGAAAGUGUGGGGAGCAAAUAGGAUUAGAUACCCUAGUAGUCCACACCGUAAACGAUGGAUGUUAAACGUCGGGGCGAUCACCUCGGUGUUGCAGUUAACACAUUAAACAUCCUGCCUGGGUAGUACAUUCGCAAGAAUGAAACUCAAACGGAAUUGACGGGGACCCGCACAAGUGGUGGAGCAUGUUGCUUAAUUCGACGGUACACGAAAAACCUUACCUAGACUUGACAUCCUUGGCAAAACUAUAGAAAUAUAGUCGAGGUUAACCGAGAGACAGGUGGUGCAUGGUUGUCGUCAGCUCGUGUCGUGAGAUGUUGGGUUAAGUCCCGCAACGAGCGCAACCCUUAUCGUUAGUUACUUUGUCUAACGAGACUGCCAACGCAAGUUGGAGGAAGGUGGGGAUGACGUCAAAUCAUCAUGCCCCUUAUGUCUAGGGCUGCAAACGUGCUACAAUGGCCAAUACAAACAGUUACCAAACCGUAAGGUGGAGUUAAUCUGCAAAGUUGGUCUCAGUUCGGAUUGAGGGCUGCAAUUCGCCCUCAUGAAGUCGGAAUCACUAGUAAUCGUGAAUCAGCUAUGUCGCGGUGAAUACGUUCUCGGGUCUUGUACACACCGCCCGUCAAACUACGAGAGUUGAUAGUGUCUAAAACCGUGUUGCUAACCGCAAGGAAGCGCAUGUCUAGGACAAGAUUA